RNAcentral lists this small nuclear RNA (167 nucleotides) under Suricata suricatta (meerkat). RNAcentral describes it as "U2 spliceosomal RNA (ENSSSUG00005020441.1)". It matches the Rfam family "U2 spliceosomal RNA". Rfam says of the family: U2 is a small nuclear RNA (snRNA) component of the spliceosome (involved in pre-mRNA splicing). Complementary binding between U2 snRNA (in an area lying towards the 5' end but 3' to hairpin I) and the branchpoint sequence (BPS) of the intron results the bulging out of an unpaired adenosine, on the BPS, which initiates a nucleophilic attack at the intronic 5' splice site, thus starting the first of two transesterification reactions that mediate splicing. The record is from Rfam by way of RNAcentral. Lineage: Eukaryota; Metazoa; Chordata; Mammalia; Carnivora; Herpestidae.
AUCGCUUCUCGGCCUUUUGGCUAAGAUCAAGUGUAGUAUCUGUUCUUAUCAGUUUAAAAUUUCCAGUUAUAAAAUAAAUAAGUGUCGAGAAUGUAAUGUACAACCUGAUGAUUAUAGUUAGCAAAACUGUAUCAUAUAUUGAAAGUUGAUGAGAGAAUAGACCUUAA